Molecule: non-coding RNA, 77 nt
Organism: Potamilus streckersoni
Lineage: Eukaryota; Metazoa; Mollusca; Bivalvia; Unionida; Unionidae
Source: the annotation of a GenBank genome assembly
GACCGCUCUGGUGGCCUAUGGGUUAGAGCGUCUGCCUCGGAUGCGGGAUGUUGCCGGUUCGAACCCCGGCCAAGUCA